AUUCAGCCUGCUUGCCCUAACCAUGGCAAAUGAAGGUGUUUAACUGCUCGGAAAUAAAACAAUGCUUUUUGCUCUUCAGACUUGCUGAGAUUAUCCCUUGAAGCUGGUCUAGUAAGCCUAAGCACAUU
This is a small nucleolar RNA of Hibiscus syriacus, 128 nucleotides long. RefSeq annotates it as small nucleolar RNA snoR77. The record is from RefSeq and is a predicted model, not a curated record. The transcript has a single exon. Lineage: Eukaryota; Viridiplantae; Streptophyta; Magnoliopsida; Malvales; Malvaceae.